AAGUUCAUGAGCAUACACAGAAAGAGCUCUAGCAACUGUCAGUAUGAGUGAUUUACAUGGAGCUGGUUUUGGAAUCCCUUUCUACAUGCGUAUAAAGCUAUGUUUAGGUAAUACUGCUAUAAAACUGCUCAGAAUUGAAACUAUAUCAGUUUCUUUUGCUUUUUUAAAAGAUGAAAGGAGAUAAUCAAUACACAGUAUACUUGUAUCCAUUGUUGCCUUCGAUGGGAUAUGAUUCAUCGCAAAUAAAUGAAAG
Molecule: unclassified non-coding RNA, 253 nt
Filed under: Hevea brasiliensis (rubber tree)
Lineage: Eukaryota; Viridiplantae; Streptophyta; Magnoliopsida; Malpighiales; Euphorbiaceae
Source: RNAcentral